GAGUUUGAUCGUGGCUCAGAUUGAACGCUGGCGGCAUGCCUAACACAUGCAAGUCGCGCGGAGUGUAGCAAUACACUUAGCGGCGGACGGGUGAGGAAUACAUAGGAAUUUGCCUUUAGGUGGGGGAUAGCCCAGGGAAACUUGGAGUAAUACCGCAUGAUGUCGUGAGACCAAAGCCGGGGACCGCAAGGCCUGGCGCCUUUAGAGAAGCCUAUGUCUGAUUAGCUAGUUGGUGAGGUAAUGGCUCACCAAGGCAACGAUCAGUAGCUGGUCUGAGAGGACGAUCAGCCACACCGGAACUGAGACACGGUCCGGACUCCUACGGGAGGCAGCAGUGGGGAAUAUUGGACAAUGGGCGCAAGCCUGAUCCAGCAAUGCCGCGUGUGUGAAGAAGGCCUUC
Molecule: ribosomal RNA, 400 nt
Filed under: uncultured Gammaproteobacteria bacterium
Lineage: Bacteria; Pseudomonadati; Pseudomonadota; Gammaproteobacteria
Description: bacterial SSU rRNA
Rfam family: Bacterial small subunit ribosomal RNA
Source: RNAcentral